UACGGAGGGUGCGAGCGUUAAUCGGAAUUACUGGGCGUAAAGCGUGCGCAGGCGGGCUUUUAAGCCAGACGUGAAAUCCCCGGGCUUAACCUGGGAAUGGCGUUUGGGACUGGAAGUCUGGAGUGCGGCAGAGGAGACUGGAAUUCCUGGUGUAGCAGUGAGAUGCGUAGAUAUCAGGAGGAACACCGAUGGCGAAGGCAGGUCUCUGGGCUGACACUGACGCUCAUGCACGAAAGCGUGGGGAGCAAACAGG
RNAcentral lists this ribosomal RNA (253 nucleotides) under uncultured bacterium. Its description in RNAcentral is "partial 16S ribosomal RNA". It matches the Rfam family "Bacterial small subunit ribosomal RNA", at positions 524 to 776 of the family's 1533-position model. The record is from RNAcentral.